UUUGAUUUCGCCCUGCAAUUCAGUCUUAAAAGAUUGAGCUUGGUCUGGUGAUAGCCGGACUACAUCUACGCAGUAGUCACUGUGUAAUUAUGAGUUAGACCCAAACAGCUGCCCUGCUGGAGGUCAACCCCGAGUGAAAACGUAACAUGUUUAGCUUGUCGUUGCUGCCACGCUCACCAUUCAGACACCAACCUGUUCAUGCCGGGAAGGUUACCCCAGAAGUAGCGGGCGCGGUGGGCAGCAGACACUUCCUUGGCAUCGAUCAUCACUGGGUUGCACUGAAAUCCAAGUAAAGCAGAGAAGAAAAGACACCAGGGACCAAGCAAAAAAAAACUCACAUGUUUGCGUGUGACAUUCCUCACAUCACCAACAUACAUGAUGCGACCCUGAUGCCGGACGAUACCCACGGUGAUGGAGUCUUCGCACACUUCAGAAGCUACAUAGCGAUCCACUUGGAUGCCAAGUUCUUUCAGCACCAAAAGCCCUGCACAGGUCAAAGGUCAGACAGAACAUAGAAAACUGAGGACACCAAAACCGAUAAACUGCACGAGAAAAGGCAAAAACUGAUGUGUAGCUGAGUAGCUGCCCCUGAUUUGAAAACAAAUCAUAUGCUGAGUAGUACUGAAAAUGACCACUCAAAUCCUCCAUGUAAUACUCUCACUACAGUAUCUGAAACAUGCUCAACCUACAUUUGUCUCCCCUCAGCAAUAUAAUGCUUUAAUACCAGUCACAUAUUGACUACUACCCACCUCCGCAGCGCUGUGGAGGAAGGUCUGGCAAUACGAGACUACAUAUUGACUGAUAAACUCUUACAAUGACUAUGAUGGUGUUAUUAGAUUAAAUUGUAUGUGCAAUUCUUGAUGGCCAACAAAGUUAUUACUAGGAAAGUAUUACAUUUAAAUGAUUCAUUAUAGUAUAUAUCGUGACAUGGAAGUCAACUAAAAGGAUGACUUUCAUUUUACUGUGAUCAAAAUGAUUAUUUAAAUGUUGUGUUUAAAGG
Long non-coding RNA from Perca flavescens (yellow perch), 1000 nucleotides. RefSeq lists it as uncharacterized. The record is from RefSeq and is a predicted model, not a curated record. The transcript has 3 exons. NCBI's taxonomy places the organism in Eukaryota, Metazoa, Chordata, Actinopteri, Perciformes, Percidae.